Molecule: ribosomal RNA, 433 nt
Filed under: uncultured bacterium
Lineage: Bacteria
Description: partial 16S ribosomal RNA
Rfam family: Bacterial small subunit ribosomal RNA
Source: RNAcentral
AGCGAACGCUGGCGGCAGGCCUAACACAUGCAAGUCGAACGAACUCUUCGGAGUUAGUGGCGGACGGGUGAGUAACACGUGGGAACGUGCCUUUUGGUUCGGAAUAACUCAGGGAAACUUGUGCUAAUACCGAAUGUGCCCUUCGGGGGAAAGAUUUAUCGCCAUUAGAGCGGCCCGCGUCUGAUUAGCUAGUUGGUGAGGUAACGGCGCACCAAGGCGACGAUCAGUAGCUGGUCUGAGAGAAUGACCAGCCACACUGGGACUGAGACACGGCCCAGAAUCCUACGGGAGGGAGCAGAGGGGGAUCCUGCGCAACGGGGGACAGCCAGACGCAGCCAUGCCGCGUGAAUGAUGAAGGUCUUAGGAAUGUAAUAUUCUUUCACCGGGGACGAUAAUGACGGUACCCGAAGAAGAAGCCCCGGCUAACUUCGUG